Molecule: ribosomal RNA, 253 nt
Filed under: uncultured bacterium
Lineage: Bacteria
Description: partial 16S ribosomal RNA
Rfam family: Bacterial small subunit ribosomal RNA
Source: RNAcentral
UACAGAGGUCCCAAGCGUUGUUCGGAUUCACUGGGCGUAAAGGGCGCGUAGGCGGUUCGUACAGUCAGACGUGAAAUUCCCGGGCUCAACCUGGGGACUGCGUUUGAUACGUGCGGGCUUGAGUUCGGAAGAGGGUCGUGGAAUUCCCAGUGUAGAGGUGAAAUUCGUAGAUAUUGGGAAAAACACCGGUGGCGAAGGCGGCGACCUGGUCCGACACUGACGCUGAGGCGCGAAAGCGUGGGGAGCAAACAGG